GGGUGCGUAACGCGUAUAGAACCUACCUUUUACAGAGGAAUAGCCUUUAGAAAUGAAGAUUAAUGCCUCAUGGUAUUGUAGACUGGCAUCAGUUUAUAAUUAAAGAUUUAUCGGUAAAAGAUGGCUAUGCGUCCUAUUAGUUAGUUGGUAGGGUAAAGGCCUACCAAGGCUACGAUCCGUAGCUGGUCUGAGAGGAUGAUCAGCAAGAUUGGGACUGAGACACGGCCCAGACUCCUACGGGAGGCAGCAGUGGGGAAUAUUGCGCAAUGGGGGAAACCCUGACGCAGCGAUGCCGCGUGAGUGAAGAAGGCCUUAGGGUUGUAAAACUCUUUCACCGGUGAAGAUAAUGACGGUAGCCGGAG
This 362-nucleotide ribosomal RNA is filed under the name uncultured Alphaproteobacteria bacterium. RNAcentral's name for it is "bacterial SSU rRNA". It matches the Rfam family "Bacterial small subunit ribosomal RNA", at positions 104 to 484 of the family's 1533-position model. The record is from RNAcentral. Lineage: Bacteria; Pseudomonadati; Pseudomonadota; Alphaproteobacteria.